This is a long non-coding RNA of Numida meleagris (helmeted guineafowl), 547 nucleotides long. RefSeq lists it as uncharacterized. Lineage: Eukaryota; Metazoa; Chordata; Aves; Galliformes; Numididae. The record is from RefSeq and is a predicted model, not a curated record. The transcript has 2 exons.
CCACUGUCAUCUGCUCUCCUCUCUUUUACAGACAUGCCUGUUCUGCCCAGUGAUUCCCCAGUGGAGGGCUAUGAUGAUGCCAAGGAGGUUUCUGACCCUGGGGAUCAUCCUUUCCCAGGGCCGGGAGAUUGGCAAGUGCCCAGGGCACAGGAGGAGGGAGAGGGACUCAGGGAUGCUGCCAGAGGAGAGAGUCUGCGCUCUUGGAGAAGUGCCGGAGCCCCUGAAGUUGAUGGAGACACCUCACCCCCGUCCGUUGGGAACACGGGCUAUGAUGAUGCUGAUGAGAUGUCUCUGUCAUGUCCCCAGGGGACAUAAAGGCUGUGACACCAGAGCACAAACAUGCUGAGCCCUGGGACAAGAGAGUCUGUCCCUGCCAUGAAGUUGGGUGUAGACACAAAGGAGAGGUCCGUGCAGCUGGGAGAACCAUGAGUCAGGAGCUCUUUCCAAAUGGGCAUCAGAAACAGCCCUGCAAUUCCUCUAAGUUGUAUUCCUCUGCUUUUAUGUUGUGCAUCCGUAUUGGUUCCUAUUAAAACCCUGUGAGAGCUUU